Molecule: long non-coding RNA, 1758 nt
Organism: Physella acuta
Lineage: Eukaryota; Metazoa; Mollusca; Gastropoda; Physidae
Source: RefSeq, a predicted model, not a curated record
GGGGCGGCAUGGCUUAGGUCUUCAGUAGAUGGUGUUUGGACCAUGAGACUCUCUACUGUACUCCUGUGCACACCUCAUUUAUUGCUUCCAUUCAUGUUUCUCGUUGCUUGAUCAAGUUAGUUGCCAGAUUUUUUUCUUGCUUGAAUUAUUCUUACAUUUUAUAAUGUAAUCUUCAUUUUAAAAUCUCCCUCCUGUUUAUAAGCACACCAGGCUCUGUCAUGGUUAUCUUUCAGUGUGUAUUCAUUUCACUUGACAUAUUGUUUUUUUUUGGGAGAUAACUUUUGUGUAAUCCCCACAGAUUUGUCCUAAAUAAGCCACAUCUCCUCUUUCUCUCUUACUUAAAUCUCAUACGGUUUACACCCCCCCCCCCUCCUCACACCUUUAUUAAAUCUUGUAGUGCAUUCCCAACAAAUGACAAAAUUCCAUUCUAACAAAUGUACAGAACACACCCAGCAGUCAUGUGAUGAUUCUUAAACAAAAUUUCAAUGCAUGUAUUUAUGAUACUAUUGAUCUCUAUGCAUUGGAUUAUAAUUGGUUAGUAAAUGAAAGCUUUGUUUGAACUAGUUUUUCUGAUGGCAUUCCUGCAUUGAGCCAGAGCCUAGACUGACUCAGUUCAAAAGUGUAUUCAAGUGGAUUUUCUCUAGUGUCUAAAUGUCUUGUGGGAUGAGAAAUUAGUUUGACAAGGUUUACAUUUGUGGGAUGAGAAUUUAGUUUGACGGGGUUUACAUUUGUGGGAUGAGAAUUUAGUUUGACAAGGUUUACAUUUGUGGGAUGAGAAUUUAGUUUGACAAGGUUUACAUUUGUGGGAUGAGAAUUUAGUUUGACAAGGUUUACAUUUGUGGGAUGAGAAUUUAGUAUGACAAGGUUUACAUUUGUAGGAUGAGAAUUUAGUAUGACAAGGUUUACAUUUGUGGGAUGAGAAUUUAGUAUGACAUGGUUUACAUUUGGUGUUCAGACCAUCAAAAUAGUGUGUACAUAGUUUAUUUAUAAUACAUGUACAUAAUAGUUAAUUUAUAGUACAUGUACAUAAUAGUUUAUUUAUAAUACAUGUAUUAAAGAUUUUUUUAAUUCCAAAAAACUUGCUGGCUAAGUAUGUGUAUUUGUGUAAAAUAAAAACUUACUGGCUAAAUCUGAUGUGUGUCUCAAACAUCUGUUUGGCUUGUUCUAAAAUGCCUACCCUCAUGUUGUGUUUUUGAUGUCAAUUUUUCUAGACACCAACUUCUACCCAAAGUACUCUUGGCCUCUGAUAUAGAACUAGAAUUGUAUCGAGCAUUUUAUUUUAGCCUGCACCUUCAACUGCGUUGCUUUAGAAGUAUUUAGUUCUGUUCAUCUCACUAAAUUUGCAUUAUUUGUAUUUCAAGCAAGGAAUGUGGUAUAUUCUAGACCUGUGUAGGGCCUAUAGCCCAAUUAUUGUACAAAUAAAUAUUGAUUGCAAAAAGACAGUUGUAUAUUAUUAUAUGUGUGUAUGUAUACAUGUAUAUGUAUACAUACACAUGUAUAUAUAUAUAUGUAUGUUAAUAGGAUUUGCCAUUUUAUUUCUUUUUGUGUGGCUGUUUAAAGGUGAUAGCUUUGCUUUUUUUUUAAAAGUGGGGCCAUGAUGGUAUGAUUAUAUUAAAAUACUUGAACUCUACAAACUUUUAAUAAUUACAUUUUUUAAUAAUUUAUGGAGAAUUCAUUAGCAAUAUUUUAUACAAAGUGGAUGUUUUUAGUUAAAAUGUAUGUGUAAAUCAUUAAUAGUCUAAUAAAGUAUUUAUUUUA